UAGGGAAUCUUCGGCAAUGGACGGAAGUCUGACCGAGCAGCGCCGCGUGAGUGAAGAAGGUUUUCGGAUCGUAAAGCUCUGUUGUAAGAGAAGAACGAGUGUGAGAGUGGAAAGUUCACACUGUGACGGUAUCUUACCAGAAAGGGACGGCUAACUACGUGCCAGCAGCCGCGGUAAUACGUAGGUCCCGAGCGUUGUCCGGAUUUAUUGGGCGUAAAGCGAGCGCAGGCGGUUAGAUAAGUCUGAAGUUAAAGGCUGUGGCUUAACCAUAGUACGCUUUGGAAACUGUUUAACUUGAGUGCAAGAGGGGAGAGUGGAAUUCCAUGUGUAGCGGUGAAAUGCGUAGAUAUAUGGAGGAACACCGGUGGCGAAAGCGGCUCUCUGGCUUGUAACUGACGCUGAGGCUCGAAAGCGUGGGGAGCAAACAGGAUUAGAUACCCUGGUAGUCCACGCCGUAACGAUGAGUGCUAGGUGUUAGACCCUUUCCGGGGUUUAGUGCCGUAGCUAACGCAUUAAGCACUCCGCCUGGGGAGUACGACCGCAAGGUUG
Molecule: ribosomal RNA, 549 nt
Filed under: uncultured bacterium
Lineage: Bacteria
Description: bacterial SSU rRNA
Rfam family: Bacterial small subunit ribosomal RNA
Source: RNAcentral